CCUACGGGAGGCAGCAGUGAGGAAUAUUGGUCAAUGGACGAAAGUCUGAACCAGCCAAGUAGCGUGAAGGAUGACUGCCCUAUGGGUUGUAAACUUCUUUUAUAAAGGAAUAAAACGAGGCACGUGUGCCUUUUUGCAUGUACUUUAUGAAUAAGGAUCGGCUAACUCCGUGCCAGCAGCCGCGGUAAUACGGAGGGUCCGAGCGUUAUCCGGAUUUAUUGGGUUUAAAGGGAGCGUAGAUGGGCUGUUAAGUCAGUUGUGAAAGUUUGCGGCUCAACCGUAAGAUUGCCAUUGAUACUGGCAGUGUUGAGUACAGUUGAGGUAGGCGGAAUUCGUGGUGUAGCGGUGAAAUGCUUUGAUAACACCAAGAAACCCGAUUGCGAAGGCAGCUUACUAACCUGUGACUGACAUUGAUGCUCGAAAGUGUCGGUAUCCAACCGGAUUAGAUACCCCUGUAGUC
RNAcentral lists this ribosomal RNA (460 nucleotides) under uncultured bacterium. RNAcentral's name for it is "partial 16S ribosomal RNA". It matches the Rfam family "Bacterial small subunit ribosomal RNA", at positions 338 to 795 of the family's 1533-position model. The record is from RNAcentral.